GCUGGAGGUGCAGUUUAUGACUGGCCCCUGUAGGUGCCCCGCCCGGCCCUGGUUCUCCACACUCUCAGAUGGAUUCCUGUGAACAGAGACUUUUCUAGGUCUGCCUAGAUCUGCCUUCCCAGCAGGGUGGUCCCUGGUAUGCCCACCCCAGGGAUCUGGAUCCUUGUUCCUGGUACCUAGCCAUCUAGAUUUUUUCCCUAUGGAUCCUCCGUUCAUGGGAGUUAGCAGCCCAUCUUAAGAAAAUGGCCAUUUUAAGUGGCUAGAGUUGAUCUUAGAAUUCAAGAGGAGGAGGGGAAGACAGGAUGACCAACAGGUGGCUUAUGGCCCAGAGCGUCCUGUUAUUAAUCCAACGUUGGAGUGUAGAAGCCAGUGUUCUAGGAAAGUGAACCAAUGCGUGCUUUGGACAAGGACAAGACUGGCAAUAGGAAGCAAAAGGAAUAGAAGUGGGACUAAAUCCAGAGAGAAAUAACGAGCUGAGACCUUCAAUACGGCACAAAUCAAUCAAUGCUUAUUGAGAAGCUACUGCCUGCAAGACUCUUCUGCUACUCUGCCAUCCCAGGGCCCGUGUGCUGUGAGACACUGUCGGGGAGACAAAUAAAACUGCUCAAGGCCCUGCUGUGAGUGGGCGAGGAUAGACGGAGAGGGUCUGUGCUCCUGAGGGAGCAACAGCCUGAGAGAGAGUGUAUAGGAGGUAAGUGAAGGCGGGACAAGGCGCUGGGAGCUGAUUGAAGAAGAGCUCCAGAGCCCGGAUGGUCCAAGGACUCCUGGGCUCCUGGCUAGACCCUGACUGAAAGGGUUCCAGCAUGCUGGGAUGCCUAGCCCAAGACCACUCAUUUGAGGGAUGACAUGAAGCAAGUCACCAGGUCUCUCUCCCUGACCGGAAUAACUGCAGCGACGAGGUCAAUGUAUCUUUCCAGACCUGUUCCAGGCGCAUAGAAAAGAUAAGGAACCCACUAUGUGCCAGGUUUUGUCCCAGGCUCUGAGGAUGCAGAAGUGAGCAAAAGAGACAAAGAUCCUUGUCCUCAAGUCUUCACAGAGCUUAUUCUCUAAAGGGAAAAGACAGAUAAUCAGCAUAGUAGGCUCCCUCUGGAUGCAGCAUUGAGAAUAGACUAGAGGUGAAUAAAAACAAAAGCAUGGAAACCAAGAAGCUAUGCAGCGUAAUGAUGACGGUGGCAAGGACGAGUGUGGUUACAAUGGAGGUGGUGAGAAGUGAUCAGAUUCCAGGGUGAGCACAGAGGAAAGGCCAUGUGAGGACACAAAGAGAAAGCGGCCAUCUACAAGCCGGAGAGAGAGCUCUCACCACAAUCCAAACCCUGCUGGAAACUUGAUCUUAGAUUUCCCAGCCUCUAGAACUGUGAGAAAAUAAACUCCUAUUGUAUAAGCC
Molecule: long non-coding RNA, 1384 nt
Filed under: Equus caballus (horse)
Lineage: Eukaryota; Metazoa; Chordata; Mammalia; Perissodactyla; Equidae
Description: lncRNA (ENSECAG00000047834.1)
Source: RNAcentral